UACGGAGGGGGCUAGCGUUGUUCGGAAUUACUGGGCGUAAAGCGCGCGUAGGCGGACCUGCAAGUCGGGGGUGAAAGCCCGAGGCUCAACCUCGGAACUGCCUUCGAUACUGCGGGUCUCGAGUCCGGGAGAGGUGAGUGGAACUCCGAGUGUAGAGGUGAAAUUCGUAGAUAUUCGGAAGAACACCAGUGGCGAAGGCGACUUACUGGUCCAUUACUGACGCUGAGGCUCGAAAGCGUGGGGAGCAAACAGG
This 253-nucleotide ribosomal RNA is filed under the name uncultured bacterium. RNAcentral's name for it is "partial 16S ribosomal RNA". It matches the Rfam family "Bacterial small subunit ribosomal RNA", at positions 524 to 776 of the family's 1533-position model. The record is from RNAcentral.